This 593-nucleotide long non-coding RNA is filed under the name Monodelphis domestica (gray short-tailed opossum). RNAcentral's name for it is "lncRNA (ENSMODG00000039628.1)". Lineage: Eukaryota; Metazoa; Chordata; Mammalia; Didelphimorphia; Didelphidae. The record is from RNAcentral.
AUGUAUGACUGUGUGGGCGCGCGCGCGCGCGCGCCCGUGUUGCGGGGGUUGAGAGUAAGUCAGCUUCCAGGCGAUCUGCUGUGUGGUGACUAUGCCUGCUCAAGCGAAACCCCCCUCUCUCUAGUGUUGCUUUGCUACAUAGCGCAGAUUUUCGUCUUUCUUUUGGCGCGCCCGUGCCUACUGUGUAAGAAGAAAGGAGUGCCAUGUCUGAACCCAAGGUGGCUGCCAUAUUGAAAAGAGAUGGAUUUCCUAGGAGACCUCAAAGAGAGAAAUUUUUUCCAUGUUCAAAAAGUGUGGCUUCAGAGACAUCAUGGAAGACAUGGGGAGGAAGAACAAAGUUGGAAGCCAAUUUCCUUGUUCCAUGUGACUUUAUCUUUAAAUUCUGGUCCUAAAGUCUUAAUAUUUACAUUUGCAUAUGUUCUCUGGAAGGCCUUAAAUUUUCUGUAAUUUUCAAUUAAGAACCAAAGAAUUUAUAGUGAAUGAGAUUAGAAAUAUUUAACCAAUCCUCUACAUUUUACAAAUCAGUAGAGGAACUGAGACCCAAAGAGAUUGUGAUUUGCCCAAGGACACAAAUAAAAAGUGGCCUUUCCUCA